CAAUAGCGUAUAUUAAAGUUGUUGCAGUUAAAAAGCUCGUAGUUGAACUUCAGACCUGGCCGGGCGGUCCGCCUAACGGUGUGUACUGUCUGGCUGGGUCUUACCUCUUGGUGAGCCGGCAUGCCCUUCACUGGGUGUGUCGGGGAACCAGGACUUUUACCUUGAGAAAAUUAGAGUGUUCAAAGCAGGCAUAUGCCCGAAUACAUUAGCAUGGAAUAAUAAAAUAGGACGUGCGGUUCUAUUUUGUUGGUUUCUAGAGUCGCCGUAAUGAUUAAUAGGGAUAGUUGGGGGCAUUAGUAUUCAGUUGCUAGAGGUGAAAUUCUUGGAUUUACUGAAGACUAACUACUGCGAAAGCAUUUGCCAAGGAUGUUUUCAUUAA
Molecule: ribosomal RNA, 379 nt
Filed under: uncultured eukaryote
Lineage: Eukaryota
Description: partial 18S ribosomal RNA
Rfam family: Eukaryotic small subunit ribosomal RNA
Source: RNAcentral